CACACCCAAGCCAACUUCACGGCAAUGCGCGCGUCGACCAAUCACUAAACGGCGUCGCAUCGCCAUAUUGAAUGACGCGAUCAAGUCGCCCUCUGUAUCAACAAAUGUGGAAUGAAUGGUGUCUCUGUGUUUUUCGCAUUGUUUUUAGAUAAAAUACGCUGCCAAGUCUUAGCCGAACAAAAGAAGCGAAACGAAAGCGGAGAUUUACUGUGGAAAUUUUGGAAGUCAGCCGGCACUGCGUUGUGGUGGCUUGCAUUAAUCACGCGAUGGAAAAAUAUCUCGAUUUUCAACAAACUUCUGUAAGGAGCCCGAUGGUACGUUUGAGAAGUUAAAAAGUGCCUUGGAAUGAAUCAUGGCGUGCGAUCCCCAUGAAAUAUUACACCCAAGCUGGCACCAUAAAGCAAACGGCGUGGCACAGCCGAUACAACGAUAGCGACACUACGAACUCGACAGACACCAGAGAACUCGACGUUCUGAAUGCAUAUACAGGCAAUUCAAAAACAGUUUGAAAGGGCUUGCUACGUCGGUUCAGGCAUGUGGAACAAAUGUCAGAUUAACAGACACUACAAUGCGAAAGUAGGACAAUGCAAGUAUCUACUGAGGAAGCCUCCGCUGGCCUGUAAUGAUAAGAGAAAUGGUGUACUACUAUCUAUGUGAAGGAAAUAUCAAGUUUUCAAGAACCGAUAUGUCGAUGAAAUUGAUACAAUAACCAUACAAGAACAAAGAAUUCAGAUUGAAGUCAACUAUAUUAUGUAUCCAAGAAAUAUAAUUCAUGUUAAGUUCAUAAAUUCAACCAUAUGUGGCUAUUGAAAUUGUGAUGUUUGAGAAAACAUCCGAAGCAGUCGUAAUAAAUCACGUUUUUGUCCACGGAACAUCUACCGGAGCGAUAUAUCUUAAAGAGUUGCAAUGUAUCAGUGCGGCACAGUCAAGCCCGCCCCUGGUCUCACAAUGGCAAAUUACUGAUCUUUGACAUCUGCAGGAACAAUGGGGCGACGCAGCCAGCGAUUUAUGAUGUGCGGAGACUGUCGCGGUUUCAAUAAUUCUGCGCAAACGCAACUCCACGGCCACGUGAGCUGACGUAUGGAAUUUAAAUAUGCGUUUGAAGUACGCCAAUGUUCUCUAAUGGAGUUCACAUAAAAAAGAAAGUACACACACAUAGAAGGUAGCCGGGAUUUAUAUUUAUCACUUCACAGCUGCACACCUAUGAUCGAUCUUUAUCCAAGAUGGCCGACGGCGCGCCGCACAACCUGGCGGGAAACAAGCGCGGGCGCACCUCCUACAUAGCGGAUCAUCUUCGACGUUAUAAUUUCAAAAAUUGAUUAUAGAAUAGAAUACACAAUUAUUUAAAAAUUUUCUACUGACACAACAAACGUGCAAUCUCACAGACGGUGUGCGUUGUACUAAAAAUUAAAAAAGCAUUCUUUAAACGUAUUCAAAACUUGAAAACCAUAAAACAUAUCUCCCCCAUUAUUAGUUUAUGGCUUGCGACUGUUACCAAGCUAUUAUGCUGAUAUUUCUGUGUGUAUUGAUGUUUGUUUUUAUUGUGUGCGGUGGACGAACGAGCCAAUUUAGGGUACCAUUACAAAAUGCUUCUAUUGAGCAACUAAACUAAACAUCCCGUUACGUACCUUUUUAUUAUACACAUUUCACUUGCCUUUGUGCGGUGAUUACAAAAAUGUUAUUGUUUUAUUGCGUACCUACUGUUAUUCAUAGUUAUUUUUUACUAGUCGUACUCAAAACGUCCUUCGCGCGACGGUUUUUUUAUACCAUAGUAUUGAGGCAUUUUAGAGGUUUCAAAAAACAACCGAUAUGUCGAAACAGAUAUUGAGUUGUUACCAUGCCAGUUUUCAUCAAAGUCCGUCUAGUGGUUUUUAUGUAACUUAUACACAAAUAUGAUACGUGUAAAAUAUAUUAUGGAAACAAAAUAAAAAUUUAUGAUAUCAUGACAUAGUGUUUAUUUUUUAUUUUAUUUAGUAUUCUAAA
This is a long non-coding RNA of Galleria mellonella (greater wax moth), 1983 nucleotides long. RefSeq lists it as uncharacterized. The record is from RefSeq and is a predicted model, not a curated record. The transcript is spliced from 7 exons. Lineage: Eukaryota; Metazoa; Arthropoda; Insecta; Lepidoptera; Pyralidae.